GACGAACGCUGGCGGCGUGCCUAAUACAUGCAAGUCGAACGCAGUGGGGACGGGUGCGUAACACGUGGGUAACCUCCCAUCAGAGGGGAUAACCCUUGGAAACAUGUGCUAACGCGAAACGGAUGGAUGGACCCGCGGUGCAUUAGCUAGUCGGAGGGGUAACGGCUCACCAAGGCCACGAUGCAUAGCCGGUCGGAGAGGGUGAUCGGCCACACUGGGACUGAGACACGGCCCAGACUCCUACGGGAGGCAGCAGUAGGGAAUCUUCGGCAAUGGGCGAAAGUCUGACCGAGCAACGCCGCGUGAGUGAAGAAGGUUUUCGGAUCGUAAAACUCUGUUGUUAGAGAAGCGGUAUCUAACCAGAAAGCCACGGCUAACUACGUGCCAGCAGCCGCGGUAAUUC
RNAcentral lists this ribosomal RNA (403 nucleotides) under uncultured bacterium. RNAcentral's name for it is "partial 16S ribosomal RNA". It matches the Rfam family "Bacterial small subunit ribosomal RNA", at positions 28 to 526 of the family's 1533-position model. The record is from RNAcentral.